Cyanistes caeruleus (blue tit) is the source of this 1128-nucleotide long non-coding RNA. RefSeq lists it as uncharacterized. The record is from RefSeq and is a predicted model, not a curated record. NCBI's taxonomy places the organism in Eukaryota, Metazoa, Chordata, Aves, Passeriformes, Paridae.
UGGUGCAUGGCGCGGCCGUCGGGGCGGCCCCGAUCGGGUGAGGGCCUGGCCCGGCCGCCAUCGUGGCUCAAUCCCUCUCCCGUCUCUGUGAGCUUUCUGCGGUGACUCCCCACAGGUAACUCUGAGCCGCUGGUGGAAAUCACAAAGUCGCAAGGCUGGAAGAGACCUUCAAGAUCGUCAAGUCCAACCAUCAGUGCAUCACCACCGUAAUCACCUCUAAACUGUAUCCUCGAGUGCCAUGUCCAGAUUCCUCUUGAACGCUUAUAGAGACGCACCUCAAUGUCCUUCCUGAGCUGAGGAGCCGAGAACUGGACACAGGGCUUGGAAGGUGGCCUCACCAGUGCCAAGUACUGCAGGGCAAUCACUGCCCUGGUCCUGCUGGUCACACUAUUCUUCAUACAGGUCAGGAUGCUAUUGGCCUUUUUGGCUACCUGAGCACAUUUCUGGCUCAUAUUCAGCUACCUGUCAAACAGCACCCCCAAGUCCCUUUCUCCUGAGCAGCACUCAAGCUGUUCUUUCCCCAGCCUGUCUUGCUGCGUGAGGUUAUUGCAACCCAAAUACAGGGCCUGGCACUCAGCCUUGUUGAAGCUCAUCCAGCUGCUCUCAGCCCAUCUAUCCAGCUUCUGCAGAGCCUUCCUGCACUCCUGCAGAUCAACACUCCCAACCAACAUAUGUCCUCUGCAAACUUACUGAGGAUGCACUCAACCCAAAUCAUCGACAAAGAUGUUAAACAGGACCAUCCGCAAUACUGGGCACCGAGGAACAGCAAUACUGAAUCCUGGGUGUCAUUUCACUCAAGUCUAGGAUGAAAUCACCCUAGCUUUUCAGGAGUGGGGCACCUGUUGCAGCUUACUGCCUUUAGUUGCAUAAGGGAGAGUGAUUUGUGACUGAGUGUUGUUAAGUGUUGUUGCAUCCGACCAGGUUUCCACGUGGAUUCCCACAAAACCAAAAUGUGAGGGAUCAUGAGUAAACAGAUUAGUUAUCAACUGCUGUUCCAGCUGUGCAUGUGACAGAUGUAAGGCUAAGGAAAACUGGUGGUUGUCUGAGGAUUAAAAAAUUUUGUUUAUAUUCAUCUUUCCACUACUUGGUUGUAAAAUGACCUUCAAUAAAUUCUACCACUUUAUAAGG